Long non-coding RNA from Drosophila arizonae, 201 nucleotides. NCBI's taxonomy places the organism in Eukaryota, Metazoa, Arthropoda, Insecta, Diptera, Drosophilidae. The record is from RefSeq and is a predicted model, not a curated record.
CCAAUCAGUCGCAACUUGACGCCUGAAGCGCACGCAAGCAGCGAGCGGAAGUCUACGUCGUCUACGUACAAGACAAGAUCUCGAUAUCGAACUCGAAUUCGAGCUCGAACAGUGGCCAGCUUUGGCGUACGCCGCAGCAACAAUAACAACGUCAUAUCAAGUGGAAGUGUAAAGUGUACAGAAAACGAAUGAGAGUUAAAU